Molecule: long non-coding RNA, 896 nt
Organism: Puntigrus tetrazona (Sumatra barb)
Lineage: Eukaryota; Metazoa; Chordata; Actinopteri; Cypriniformes; Cyprinidae
Exons: 2
Source: RefSeq, a predicted model, not a curated record
UUGAGGAAACUCAGUAAAGUCAGCAGUUCACAUAAGAGGAAGGCCUGUAUCAGCACUUAAAGACACUCCGCCAGCUCAGCAGAUAUGAGCGAGACAGUAAAAACCUUAUAAAAUAAAAGAGCUAAAAAAUGGAGACCGGGCGAGCGAGCACAGGCAUAUGCUGGGAGAGAGAGGAACAAACAGUAAGAUAUAUUCUGACGACUUCAGUAGGUUCAAUGAGUCUUCAGAGGAAUAUUAAUCAAGACGGUCCCCAUCAGCCCGCGUGUCUCUCUGCAUCUGGACCGCAGACUCCUGGGACCCUCGCGGGGUUCGGAAAACACGCUGUUAUGACAUUUUUUACCUUGAACAGGUUGCAAAGAAUAACCAGAGACCAGACGGUAUAUCAAAUCUAAUGACUGCUGCCGAGAGAUACGGCGAAUCUCAAGAAACGUGUCCGGGUCACAAACCCUAAUCUAAAAAAAGCUCAAAAAAACCCCCUGAAAUUCAUUUUGCCUGGAACAUUAGUAAGAAAACGAUAACAGAAAGCCAUUACCUUUUAUUAAAGUCACGGUUAUUACAGUUAACCAUGCCUGAAAACAAAACAAAUCAUCAAUCAUUACAUUAAUAGUGAGAUACCCGUUUGUUAUUUUCCUUUAGUGUAACUUGAAAUAAUAAAAUAUCUCAUACUGAUAAUAAACAACAAAUAAUACAUUUGAUAAUAAAUAAUGGCAAAAACACUGAAACAAAAUGACUAACUUUCAAGUUAAAACCUUAAUAAAAAGAUUAUAUAUCCCUGAUUGAAGUUUGGCUUCGGUUUUAUUGUAGAUUAUUUUCUAACACACACACAUACUCACACACACACACACACACAAACACACACACAGACACACACAAACACACACACAGACACACACACA